RNAcentral lists this ribosomal RNA (703 nucleotides) under Candidatus Woesebacteria bacterium GW2011_GWA1_33_30. RNAcentral describes it as "bacterial LSU rRNA". It matches the Rfam family "Bacterial large subunit ribosomal RNA", at positions 2010 to 2716 of the family's 2925-position model. Lineage: Bacteria; Candidatus Woeseibacteriota. The record is from RNAcentral.
UAGCAACUGUCUUGAGGAUUCACUCGGCGAAAUUGCGUUGGCUGUGAAGACGCGGCCUAAUCCCACUUGGACAAAAAGACCCCGUGGAGCUUUACUGUAAUUUGGCAUUGCCUUAACAAUUUUUGAUUGUCUAGAAUAGGAGGGAGAGUAAUCAACCGUGUAAUACCUCUCGUUGGAGAUUGUUGGGCUUACUUAGAUCCCUUGAAGACAGGGAUGGGAAAAGUGCUAGAUGGACAGUUUUACUGGGGCGGUACCCUGCCAAAGAGUAACGCAGGGGCACAAAGGUUGGCUUGUUACGGAUGGAAACCGUAAUUUAACUGCAAAGAGAUAAGCCAGCUUGACUGCAAGACCGAAGGGUCGAGCAGGUACGAAAGUAGGUCUUAGUGAUCCCCCGAUCCUUCAUGGGAGGGACGGGGCUUAACUGAUAAAAGCUACCCCGGGGAUAACAGAGUAGUCGCGAUAACAGAGUAGUCGCGCCCGAGAGUCCAUAUCGACGGCGCGGUUCGCUACCUCACGAUGUCGGCUCAUCACAUCCUGGCGCUGAAGAAGGUGCCAAGGGUUGGUCUGUUCGCCCAUUAAAGUGAUACGCGAGCUGGGUUCAGAACGUGUGAGACAGUUCGGACUCUAUCCAGUGGGAUCGUUCGAGUUUUGAUAGGAGCUCUUCUCAGUACGAGAGGACCAGAAGGGGGGAAUCCCUGGUGUG